This is a non-coding RNA of Anas platyrhynchos (mallard), 604 nucleotides long. The record is from RefSeq and is a predicted model, not a curated record. NCBI's taxonomy places the organism in Eukaryota, Metazoa, Chordata, Aves, Anseriformes, Anatidae.
GAGGAUUUGAGAAGAGGUUGCAGAUGAUCAAGGAGCGACACGUGCAGGGAUGGCUUGAAAAGGGUGAUUAGCUUCAGGUUCCAGGUGGGACCUAGUGGUAACUGAGUUGCAGGUAUUCCAUGACAGAGCUCCUUCUGCCUGGGCUGCUUUUUGGGGUGAUUGGGUUUGGGUGCUGGGCGGGGCCGAAUGGUAUAUGAGCCCCAGGCAUGCUAUCAGAGAGCUCCUUCUGCCUGGGCUGCUCCUUGAGCAGUAGGUAAACAUUAGGAGGAACCGGUCAAAGGUAACAGCGCUUUCUGGAACCGUCAAGUUCUUGUUCGGCAACGUAGUGACUGGUUUGAUCUACUUCACAGAUGGAGAGGCAAGUGGACUGCUCUCUUUGAAAUAAUAAAAUUGAAAACAUAAAGUUUGUCAAAGAUGGCAGUGCAUGUUUGCAGUCUGUUUAUUGCUUUUGCCAGUGGUAGAUAACAUUUAUAAGGAAUCGGUCAAAGGAAAGAGCGCCUUCUGGAACUGUGAAGCUCUGUGUUGGCAACUCGGUGACUGGCUGGACCUACUGUCCAUCUCCAGAGGGAAGCGGACUGCUGUUUUGAAAUUAAAAAAUACUAAU